CUACGGGGCGCAGCAGUGAGGAAUAUUGCACAAUGGGGGGUACCCUGAUGCAUCAACGCCGCGUGGAGGAUGACGCAUUUCGGUGUGUAAACUCCUUUUAUAUGUCAAGAAAAUGACGGUAGCAUAUGAAUAAGCACCGGCUAACUCCGUGCCAGCAGCCGCGGUAAUACGGAGGGUGCAAGCGUUACUCGGAAUCACUGGGCGUAAAGGACGCGUAGGCGGGUUGGAAAGUCAGGUGUGAAAUCCUACAGCUUAACUGUAGAACUGCACUUGAAACUUCUAAUCUAGAGUAUGGGAGGGGGAGAUGGAAUUAGUGGUGUAGGGGUAAAAUCCGUAGAUAUCACUAGGAAUACCUAAAGCGAAGGCGAUCUCCUGGAACAUUACUGACGCUAAGGCGUGAAAGCGUGGGGAGCAAACAGGAUUAGAUACCCUAGUAGUC
This 439-nucleotide ribosomal RNA is filed under the name uncultured bacterium. RNAcentral's name for it is "partial 16S ribosomal RNA". It matches the Rfam family "Bacterial small subunit ribosomal RNA", at positions 339 to 795 of the family's 1533-position model. The record is from RNAcentral.